UGCCAGCCGCCGCGGUAAUACGAAAUGUGCAAACGUUGUUCGGAAUCACUGGGCUUAAAGGGUGCGUAGGCGGCUUUGUAAGUCAGAUGUGAAAGCCCACCGCUUAACGGUGGAACUGCAUUUGAUACUGCAAGGCUUGAAUCAGGCUGAGGUCAGCGGAAUGUGUCAUGUAGCGGUGAAAUGCAUAGAUAUGACAUAGAACACCAAUUGCGAAGGCAGCUGGCUAGACCUGCAUUGACGCUGAGGCACGAAAGCGUGGGGAGCGAACAGGAUUAGAUA
Molecule: ribosomal RNA, 279 nt
Filed under: uncultured bacterium
Lineage: Bacteria
Description: partial 16S ribosomal RNA
Rfam family: Bacterial small subunit ribosomal RNA
Source: RNAcentral